GCGAACGCUGGCGGCAGGCUUAGCACAUGCAAGUCGAACGGACGUAGCAAUACGUCAGUGGCAGACGGGUGAGUAACACGUGGGAACGUGCCCUUCGGCUCGGAACAACCCAGGGAAACUUGGGCUAAUACCGGAUACGCCCUUACGGGGAAAGAUUUAUCGCCGAAGGAUCGGCCCGCGUCUGAUUAGCUUGUUGGUGAGGUAACGGCUCACCAAGGCGACGAUCAGUAGCUGGUCUGAGAGGAUGAUCAGCCACACUGGGACUGAGACACGGCCCAGACUCCUACGGGAGGCAGCAGUGGGGAAUAUUGGACAAUGGGCGCAAGCCUGAUCCAGCCAUGCCGCGUGGGUGAUGAAGGCCUUAGGGUUGUAAAGCCCUUUCGGCGGGGAAGAUAAUGACGGUACCCGCAGAAGAAGCCCCGGCUAACUUCGU
This 433-nucleotide ribosomal RNA is filed under the name uncultured bacterium. Its description in RNAcentral is "bacterial SSU rRNA". It matches the Rfam family "Bacterial small subunit ribosomal RNA", at positions 29 to 506 of the family's 1533-position model. The record is from RNAcentral.